UUGGAUGGUUGGCCUCUUGGUUACAAGCAUGUACAUUAUGGCUCUCUCCUUGCCUGGAACUGGAUAUGAGAAAUGCUUGAAUUAAGAUCUGUGAAUUAUCUUAUUUUCUUGUCAGAAGGAUGCAGAUUGCCCAUACUUCAUAGCAGAGCAACAGGAGGGACUUAGGGACAAAAAGCUCAAAGGCAAGGAAGACUGAGGAAGCUAAGUUACUGGCCAUAUGUUUAAUAAAUAUAAGCUUAAUGGCAGUGAAUGUAUUAAUGUCAGCGAAGACAAGUCUAUGAAGUUAAACAGGCACAGAGAGGCUAAGAGUCUUGCCAAAGGCCACAGAGGAAGGAAGAGACUAAAUCUGGAACAAACUUUCUAUUCUCCAUUUCCAGAAGAAACCACUAAACCAUGCUUCCUCUUGUCAUGGAAGCUUAAAAUAUUUGGACUGUCUGUGGAUCCAGGGAGGAAUUUCAGAAGAGCCAGGAUUAGUCAAUCAAAUUAAACUCAAUAUCACCCAAAUAAAGUUGGUCAGAUCAAACUACGUUUAAAUAAGAAUUAAAAUGCCAUUUGUCCAUCACCUAAUGGCUCAAUUUGCUCCUGCCUUGGGUGUGCACACCCUGCUCUGGAACAGACCAGAGCUCUAAAGAAGUGACUGGAAGUUGUGAAUGUCAUUGUUAUGAAGCUUCAAAUUUGCUCUCCUCUUUAGGACACAGACAUGGCAUUAGAGAAGGGCAGAAAACUGCACUUGGCUGUGCAUAGAGAACACUAGAGACCUCUUGUGCAAGAGAGGGGACUAGGUUGCGUAGUGUAAUGAGAGAAGCAUGGGUUUUGAGACCGCUACAAUGUCUGUGUCUUCUUGGCCAACAUUUCAGUAAGAGUAGUAAGCAUAUCUCCACAAUAGGGUU
RNAcentral lists this long non-coding RNA (890 nucleotides) under Homo sapiens (human). RNAcentral's name for it is "non-protein coding lnc-NDFIP2-7:8". The record is from RNAcentral. Lineage: Eukaryota; Metazoa; Chordata; Mammalia; Primates; Hominidae.